RNAcentral lists this long non-coding RNA (235 nucleotides) under Solanum tuberosum (potato). Its description in RNAcentral is "long non-coding RNA (STUB_LNC001673)". Lineage: Eukaryota; Viridiplantae; Streptophyta; Magnoliopsida; Solanales; Solanaceae. The record is from RNAcentral.
UUUUUUUUAAAUCCAUUAAACUUCAACUUGAUAAGAUAUAGAAAAUAAGAUCUGGGACAAGUCACACUGGGAAUAUUUUUCCAAUUCUUAGGCUAAAUCAAAAUUUUCAAAAACAGUAGACAAUACAACUCUUUAAAUGCAAAACCAAGAUAUCAAACAGUGAAACUAUAUCAAUUUCAACUUUAAAUUAAGUAGCAGCUAAAUGACUAGCUCUCAGUCUGCUCCCUAAGCCUUC